GUCCACGCCGUAAACGAUGGGUACUAGGUGUGGGGGGUGUCGACUCCCUCCGUGCCGAAGCUAACGCAUUAAGUACCCCGCCUGGGGAGUACGGCCGCAAGGCUAAAACUCAAAGGAAUUGACGGGGGCCCGCACAAGCAGCGGAGCAUGUGGUUUAAUUCGAAGCAACGCGAAGAACCUUACCUGGGCUUGACAUGUGCCUGACCGCCGUGGAAACACGGCUUCCCUUCGGGGCAGGUUCACAGGUGGUGCAUGGCUGUCGU
RNAcentral lists this ribosomal RNA (263 nucleotides) under uncultured bacterium. RNAcentral's name for it is "partial 16S ribosomal RNA". It matches the Rfam family "Bacterial small subunit ribosomal RNA", at positions 793 to 1055 of the family's 1533-position model. The record is from RNAcentral.